This 467-nucleotide ribosomal RNA is filed under the name uncultured bacterium. Its description in RNAcentral is "partial 16S ribosomal RNA". It matches the Rfam family "Bacterial small subunit ribosomal RNA", at positions 28 to 507 of the family's 1533-position model. The record is from RNAcentral.
GAUGAACGCUGGCGGCGUGCUUAACACAUGCAAGUCGAACGGAAAGGCCCAAGCUUGCUUGGGUACUCGAGUGGCGAACGGGUGAGUAACACGUGGGUGAUCUGCCCUGCACUUCGGGAUAAGCCUGGGAAACUGGGUCUAAUACUGGAUAGGACCACUUCUUGGAUGGUGUGGUGGAAAGUUUUUUCGGUGUGGGAUGAGCUCGCGGCCUAUCAGCUUGUUGGUGGGUAAUGGCCUACCAAGGCGUCGACGGGUAGCCGGCCUGAGAGGGUGUACGGCCACAUUGGGACUGAGAUACGGCCCAGACUCCUACGGGAGGCAGCAAUGGGGAAUAUUGCACAAUGGGCGCAAGCCUGAUGCAGCGACGCCGCGUGGGGGAUGACGGCCUUCGGGUUGUAAACUCCUUUCGCUAGGGACGAAGCGUUUUUGUGACGGUACCUGGAGAAGAAGCACCGGCUAACUACGUG